AAGUCGUAACAAGGUUUCCGUAGGUGAACCUGCGGAAGGAUCAUUAUCGAGUGAAGGGUCCUAACCGGCCCGACCUCCAACCCUCUGUCGUUAAAACAAACCCUUGUUGCUUUGGCGGGACCGCCGCGCCCUCCGGGGCCGGCCGUCGGUCUUCGGCCCGGCGAGCGCCCGCCAGAGUCCAACCAAAAACUCUUGCAAAACAACAGCCUGUCUGAGUAAAAUUGAUAAAUCAAUCAAAA
This 239-nucleotide unclassified non-coding RNA is filed under the name plant metagenome. RNAcentral's name for it is "partial contains small subunit ribosomal RNA and internal transcribed spacer 1". The stretch from base 1 to 46 matches the Rfam family "Eukaryotic small subunit ribosomal RNA", at positions 1786 to 1831 of the family's 1831-position model. The record is from RNAcentral.